CCAAGCGAAAUUGCACCAUCGGAGCGGUCUAACUUUAGUGGGUGGGGACGAGGGUGCUUCCUUAAACAGCCCGGAGAAGGAGAAGAGCCGAGGGAACCGGGUAGGGGCGCGCUGCUUCUUCUUCCUGGGCGGCGGCGGCGGCGGCGGCUGCUGGUGCUCGUGGUGUCGCCGUCGCAGCUACUCCUCUUGCCCAGCCCAGCGCUUUCUGGAUCUAUCGCCUAACACGUGGGGGCUCUUUUUUUUUCUUCUUCUCUUUUUUUCUUUUUCUUUUUUUUUUUUUUGCGCGGCGGAAACUUUGGAGGGAUACUUGCUGCCAACUUAAGAGACACGCGCUCGGUGACAGCGGCGUGGGACUUCUCGCCGUGGCUUUGCGGGUGGUGGAAUCAAAGCUCCAGGCGGAUCCAGGCGCUCCUUUGCGGCCAGGGGUGCGGGUGCCUUCUCCUGCGAUUGGAACGCCGCCCCUUCGUUGCUGACUCUGCGGGGGGCUCCAGCCGCUCGCCCCCCGCCGCCGCCGCCGCUCCCUUUUUCCUAAGCACUGAAAAAAAAAAUGUGGCCGGCGAGCCUUUUUCACGAAGCAGCUCUAGUUUUCCCGAGGGGCGGGAGCCAGCCUGCCUGCCUGCCUGCCCCCCCUCCCUCCCACCCCAGUGCCUGCCGUACCUCCUCGUUUUUGUGCCUCCGGUGUAACUCAAGAAGAUCUGGCCGGGACGAGGGAGGACGAGCAAGUUAAAUCCACAGGAACGCGCCAGGGUUGCUGGCUGUCCCCCCUUGACAGAAGAAGAGGCAUUCUGGUUUUGUCAACCUUCACCCACAUGAUUCUCUUGUCAAAUGCUUAUGAUUGGGUCGGUCUUUAUCUUCUAUCCAACUCUACUAUUCUAUGUUCUCUCUUCCCAUCUCAUACUUUCUAGAGUUGCACAUUGAAAACGGAAUUUGAUCCAAAGUAAUUGAGAUCUUAUGGCAUGGCCCUUCCACCCUGCAGCAUACUUCUAUUGAACAGACAGAUACAAUAUUUAUUGAAGAGUGUCGCAAGUUUUUCCCGGCGCUGAAUGUAAAUACGCACGCAUACCGAUCGUGCUGUUCCCGUUUGUAGUCAGCGGCGCUAGGCAAAGUGCAGGAAAGAAGUAAGGCACAGUAAGCAGAAGAAAUGAAGGACGUGCAGUCGGGAAAAAGAAGAAGAAAGACAUAUUGCAGCGUCAAGUAUUAUACCAACAUUAUGGGUGUAUAGUAGAUACAGAGCAGGCCAGAUCUCUUAGGUAAUUACCAUAUUGGGCUGGCUCAAACUUUGGCAGCCUUCUUGAGAGUACAUUGUGGAGCUCUGAAACUUUUGUACUAUAGACCCAGACGUUUGCCAGGAGAAGCCCUGCUGAACAAAUGUCUUUUUCAUGCACAAGGGGUUUUGAUGCACACAUGGUGUUCCCCAGAAGAGGUUAGCCAGUGUCGGAGACACCCCCACGGAGUUCUUUGACCUGAUUCCAUCAAGUCCAACAUACACACCAGAAGGCCUUUUCUGCCUGAGAGCUACUGUACAACAGUUUAUAUCUCAGCUGGUUUCAUUUUUAUGAGCUCGGAGCUGAGGGCUCUGCUUCCAAGAAGCAUUUCUUGAAUGACAACUAUACAGAACACUGCAACUUGUAUCCAUGCUGCAAAGUUUCAAUUGCACACACAGGGCAAUUUUUUAUACUAAAUUUCUCAACUGCUUUCAAGACUUGAUGCGGUUCCCAGUCUGGUACAGAGAUGGGGAAAAUGAUUUUCUUUGACCUCGAAGCCCUCUAGAUCAGGGGUCUCCAACCUUGGCAACUUUAAGACUUGUGGACUUAAACUCCCAGAAUUCCUCAGCCAGCUUUGGAAAUUGAAGUCCACAAUUCUUAAAGUUGCCAAGGUUGGAGACCCCUGCCCUAGAUGACAUGAACUGUAGUCUACCUCAUCUCUGACUUGCAACUGGGAAUGGUGGGACUUAUAGUCCAGUGCGUUUGGAAGGCAUCAACUGGGACAAAGUUUUCUACAAAGAUGAACUCACCCUGAGCUCGUCUCUAUCCCAAUAUGAAUGGAUGUGCUUUCAACAGCUAAUUCCAUCUUCAUCAACAUCUUAAAACAGGUAAGCAGAAAAACAGCUGUUCAACUGUUGACUAAGGAAAGGAUGCUCAAAAGACCACUUGGCAUAAGGAUGCCCAUCUAGCCAAUUGGUUAAGCUAUUCCUGUGCAUCUCUAGAUGUUGGAUCAAUCGCUUACUUUAAGGAAGGACAUACUGGUGCAAAUAAUUUUUUGUUUUUUAUUUUACAUGAGGAACGCAAUGGCUGAGGGGUUAAGAUGCUGAACUUGCCAGCUGUAAAGUCAACAGCCCAGGUUCGAGACCCGAACUCCACACGGCGGGGUGAGCUCCUGUUACUUGCCUCAGCUCCUGCCCACCUAGCAUUUUGAAAGCAUACACAUACAAAUAAAUAGGUACCACUUCAGUGGGAAAGUAACAGCGUUUCAUGAGCCUUGGCAUAUAGCUACAUGAUUGUAUGACCAUGGAAAUGUCUUUGGACAACAUGGGCUCCCUCGGCUAAAAAACAGAGAUAAACAUCCCUCCUUAGAGUCGGAGAUGACUGGUCCGGGGAAGCCUUUACCUUUCUUUAAGGGGGCAUGUUUUUCCAAAUUAUAUCAAGGCAAUUGCUGCUGGCUAUUCUAAUGUGCAAAAUGCUGUAUUGUAUAUCAAAUGCCGUGAAAAUAAACAGAACUUACAAUAAA
Molecule: long non-coding RNA, 2727 nt
Organism: Ahaetulla prasina
Lineage: Eukaryota; Metazoa; Chordata; Lepidosauria; Squamata; Colubridae
Exons: 4
Source: RefSeq, a predicted model, not a curated record